UACAGAGGUCCCAAGCGUUGUUCGGAUUUACUGGGCGUAAAGGGUGCGUAGGUGGCGAGGUAAGUUUGAUGUGAAAUCUCCGAGCUCAACUCGGAAACGGCAUUGAAUACUAUCCCGCUUGAGGGUCGGAGGGGAGACUGGAAUUCUCGGUGUAGCAGUGAAAUGCGUAGAUAUCGAGAGGAACACCAGUGGCGAAGGCGAGUCUCUGGACGACUCCUGACACUGAGGCACGAAAGCUGGGGGAGCAAACAGG
This 253-nucleotide ribosomal RNA is filed under the name uncultured bacterium. RNAcentral describes it as "partial 16S ribosomal RNA". It matches the Rfam family "Bacterial small subunit ribosomal RNA", at positions 524 to 776 of the family's 1533-position model. The record is from RNAcentral.